AAUGACUAGAUUGUAAAUAAUUAAAUCUUUAUUAAAUGGCAUAUUUUCCCAGUAAAGUUAAAAGUAAGCUGGACAAAGGAUUAACGGGUGGUAGAUAGGAAUCUUUAUUUUAAAACGACUCACAGCCAAUGAAUUAUUAAGAGAUCCUAAGAUAGAGUAGAUCUGUAAUUCUUUUUUUCUUCUAUAAGACAUAUGAAAACACUUCAAAUGCAUCUUAUUUUUAUCUAAGUUUUUAAGGCAUGUUGGCGUGUUUUCUGUUUUU
This is a non-coding RNA of Biomphalaria pfeifferi, 262 nucleotides long. Lineage: Eukaryota; Metazoa; Mollusca; Gastropoda; Planorbidae. The record is from the annotation of a GenBank genome assembly.